Long non-coding RNA from Fukomys damarensis (Damara mole-rat), 537 nucleotides. RefSeq lists it as uncharacterized. NCBI's taxonomy places the organism in Eukaryota, Metazoa, Chordata, Mammalia, Rodentia, Bathyergidae. The transcript has 3 exons. The record is from RefSeq and is a predicted model, not a curated record.
GUUUUUCUUGUAGGAGAAGUUACUCCUGGAGGAGGUAUUGGCAUUCCAUCGACUAGGAAGAUACUCAAAGGUCGCUUAACUAAUGAAGUUAUACAUAAAGAACUGAAUAAGAAGUCUCAGCCCCUGAUCAGUUCUCAAGGUAUCAUUUUGGCUGGAAGUGCGCUGAAGAACUCCAAGAAAAUCACCAGGAAAAAACGGGCCUUUGUGCCAAAUAUUGUUCUGUGAGUCACUUCACCAAAUACAAAAGUGAAGAUAUGCUGAGGUUGAGAACACUGAAAGCAGAAAUUCUCUAGAGGAGGAUGCAUUUUCACAGGUGAAGAAAUUGGGAAAAUCAUAGUGGAAGAAGGGACUGUGUUAAAUAGACAAGGAAAAAUACUGAGAGGAAAAUAGCAGAGUGCCUUUCAACGUGGAAGCAGAAAAAUGAGUGUCUUCCUGCAGAGACGGAAAACACUUUAUCAUACUAAUAUCAGUUAGUCAAUAUUGUAAGAAAAAAUUUAAAAGAUGAAAGAACACAGAAGAUUAUAACAUUAAAAAAGU